RNAcentral lists this long non-coding RNA (393 nucleotides) under Oreochromis niloticus (Nile tilapia). RNAcentral describes it as "lncRNA (ENSONIG00000034598.1)". Lineage: Eukaryota; Metazoa; Chordata; Actinopteri; Cichliformes; Cichlidae. The record is from RNAcentral.
AAUCAGCCGGUGCGCGCAGCGCGUACGGAGUAUUGCGCUGUUUUCUGAGUUUUGGUGGAGGUCGUUCACUAAACUCAGCUGCUGCUCUCGGAGGUCAGUUUGGAUUAUUCGGUGGACGCGUGUUGUAUUGAGCACAAUUCACCACAGAGUUCAUCCCAAAGUUUGGACCGCUGUCACAGCACACUUCUGCCUGUCUUUUAGGGGUGCUUUUUUGCCUUUAUCUGACAGUUCAGCAGGAAAGAGCAGCGGAAGACGCACCGCAAAGAGCUACAGUUUCUUGUUAUGGGUUGAUAAACAAACAGGGUGAGGGUCUAGCUCUACCGGAAGCCAUUAACAUGGAACCUGGAAAAACAGCCAGAAGACUUGACUUUGUGAUUUUUUUCAAUUUAAAAU